Neogale vison (American mink) is the source of this 240-nucleotide long non-coding RNA. RefSeq lists it as uncharacterized. NCBI's taxonomy places the organism in Eukaryota, Metazoa, Chordata, Mammalia, Carnivora, Mustelidae. The transcript has 3 exons. The record is from RefSeq and is a predicted model, not a curated record.
CGGAGAGCUCCGGGACCCCUCCCGGCAACGGCGGAAGCAUCUUCUCUCUCUUUGAGGGUCACCCAAUUAACAGCUUUAUACGAAGUACCUCAGGACCUUGGACAAAAAGGAAGGUAGCAGGAUGUACAUUGAGCCCUGAAUUGGAAGUGUCUGAGUUCAGGAUCUCACAUUCUGCGCUGAACCAAUCAGUAGGACAGUGUGUGUCCUUGGGCAUAUCACCUCCAACAAAGAUGGAUCUCU